UAGUCAUUCAUUCGUGUCCGACUCUGCAACCUGAUGAAUAAUAGAUUGCAAACAUCAACUUUGGGGAAAGAAAACUAGACCAGAAAGAAAUCUUACAGCAACUUGUGUACAGUAGCCUUUAAUAAAACAAAAACUUCCUGUAAAAUCUUUACUAGAAAAAUAGAGAUUUGGUCCCCUAGUAGCCCCCAGGAAAAUAGAUGUGCAGUGUGUAUUUCCCAUCAUGACACUAAAAGCCCUUAAAUUGGGUGUUUCUGUUCUAUCACAGAACUAAGAAUGUAGACAUUGAUGAAGCCCCUCACUGGGGAUUUAUUAUUAAAGUGUUAUUAGAUCAAUAAAAAUCUCUAAAAUGAUUUUGAA
This 357-nucleotide long non-coding RNA is filed under the name Bos taurus (domestic cattle). RNAcentral's name for it is "long non-coding RNA NONBTAT014854". Lineage: Eukaryota; Metazoa; Chordata; Mammalia; Artiodactyla; Bovidae. The record is from RNAcentral.